GUGUAGGUGGGGAUAACGUAGCGAAAGUUUACGCUAAUACCGCAUACGCACUGAGGUGGAAAGCAGGGGAUCGCAAGACCUUGCGCUAUACGAGCGGCCGAUGUCAGAUUAGCUAGUUGGUAGGGUAAAGGCCUACCAAGGCGACGAUCUGUAGCGGGUCUGAGAGGAUGAUCCGCCACACUGGGACUGAGACACGGCCCAGACUCCUACGGGAGGCAGCAGUGGGGAAUUUUGGACAAUGGGCGAAAGCCUGAUCCAGCCAUGCCGCGUGAGUGAAGAAGGCCUUCGGGUUGUAAAGCUCUUUCGGCUGGGAAGAAAUCGCACAGGCUAAUACUCUGUGUGGAUGACGGUACCAGCACAAGAAGCACCGGCUAACUACGUG
Molecule: ribosomal RNA, 382 nt
Filed under: uncultured bacterium
Lineage: Bacteria
Description: bacterial SSU rRNA
Rfam family: Bacterial small subunit ribosomal RNA
Source: RNAcentral